RNAcentral lists this transfer RNA (71 nucleotides) under Marmota monax (woodchuck). RNAcentral's name for it is "tRNA.Ala". Lineage: Eukaryota; Metazoa; Chordata; Mammalia; Rodentia; Sciuridae. The record is from RNAcentral.
GUUUUGUGGCUCAGUGGUAGAGCACUCUCCUAGCAUGGGUGGGACCCAGGUUUGAUUCUCAGGACAACAUA